Molecule: long non-coding RNA, 446 nt
Filed under: Mustela putorius furo (domestic ferret)
Lineage: Eukaryota; Metazoa; Chordata; Mammalia; Carnivora; Mustelidae
Description: lncRNA (ENSMPUG00000027471.1)
Source: RNAcentral
GGUCUCUCUUCCUGUAUAUUGCCUCAGAUUCACCUCUCUGCAAGUCCUACCUUCCAGAAAGUGGUUGCCUUUCUGUUCCUAGAAUUGAUGUUAUUUUUUUUUUCUUCUAUCUCCUGUUGAGUUUGUAGGUGUUCAGAAUGGUUUGAUAACUAUCUAGCUGAACUCCUGGGAACUGAUGAUAUAUAGGUCUCCUACUCCUCUGCCAUCUUGCUCCAGAGGGACACGUAGCAAGAUGGGAAACACAAGCACGAGCAGUGGGAGUGGGAGAAGCAGGCUUCCCACUGAGCAAGGAGCCCAAUGCAGGGCUCAGUCCCAAGACCCUAGGAUCAUGACCUGUGCCGAAGGCAGGCUCUUAACAACUGAGCCAUCCAGGCGCCCCAAUACUGUACCGCUUUUUAAAAUGAAGUAAAAUAAUAAAAAAAAUUUUGAAAACAAGAAUAAUAAAU